Macrobrachium nipponense is the source of this 732-nucleotide long non-coding RNA. RefSeq lists it as uncharacterized. The record is from RefSeq and is a predicted model, not a curated record. The transcript is spliced from 3 exons. Lineage: Eukaryota; Metazoa; Arthropoda; Malacostraca; Decapoda; Palaemonidae.
GGCAGGAAGGAUUCGUAAAUAUGGAAUUUCAGUAUUACCAAAAUAAGAAAAAUAAAUACUUGGCACCGCUUACAGUCCUUCCUGCUGCCAUAGUUAUGAUCGGCAAAUUGUUGACUCCUCCUCUUUUUGUUGUUUACGAGGAAACGUCGAGACCGGCGAAUGCGUGAGAAGUCAGUACUAGCAGUCCAAGCAGUCUCAGCAGUCGAGGCAGUUCUGCCAGUCCGGUCAGUCCGGGCGGUCCUGUCAGAGCAUUAGGGCAGUGAGCUAUCCUGUAGGACCCACCACAUACCCGUAUGCCAAUGAGCCCGUCUUCCAUCGUCAGUGUGAGCCUGUCCUCCUGGAGGAUGUCUUGGACGAGGCUCUGAUAAUGUUAUUAAGAAUCAAGGGUCCCUCAAGAGGCAUUUGUGAAGUAUUCCCUUGGUUCCAUAAUUUGGACGGCGUAAUUGGUGGCCACCUGGAGGUGCUCUGCCUCCCACGACUGAUUUGUUCAUCAUCGUCUCGACUUUGACUCACCUUAGUGGAUGAUUUGUGGAGAAAAGUCACGUUCUCCUAAGCAUUGACUUCAAUCCCUUCUUGCUCGGAUGGACUACGUGGUUUCGCAACUCUACUGAAGGUUGUUCAUGGGUUUAUUGUACAUAGUGGUAUGGAGGAGAAGCUGAUUAUUGAAGAGGAAGAGCCCUGUGUCAUGCACUUGACACAUUUGCAAUAAAUAAUAAAUUUAAACAUUUCAAA